This 1086-nucleotide ribosomal RNA is filed under the name Triticum aestivum (bread wheat). RNAcentral describes it as "partial small subunit ribosomal RNA". The record is from RNAcentral. Lineage: Eukaryota; Viridiplantae; Streptophyta; Magnoliopsida; Poales; Poaceae.
AUGACGACGACGGAGACGGCGACGGCGACGGCGGCGACGGCGAGGGAGCCGCGCGAGGCGUCCCGGCGGGAGGGCCGCGACUCGCACGGCAGGCGCCCGCACUCCUCGUCCAGGUCGCGCCGGGACGACCCCAGCCCGAGGAGGCGGAGAGACGACAGGAGGCACGAGUCCGACAGGAGCCAGCACAGGCGUCGGCCCGAGGAGGCCGCCGAUGAUGCCGGCAACCGUGAUGAGAGGAGGAACAGGCACUUGCAGGACGCGAAGGGGCGGAGCGACGGUCCUGAUCCGGGGCGCGGGGAGGGGAAGCCGCCGCCGGGCGACGCCAAGGAGGACCCUCCCGCGAGGCACGAGAGGUCUCCCAGGGGAACCAAGCGGUUCUCCGAGACGAGAGAGGCCUGGCGGCCUAGAUCUUCGUUCUUUCAGCAUGAUGAGCGUGAACGUGCUGGGCAAGGUGGUCGACGCUAUGGUCGCCAAGAUUAUGGAAGACAAAGGGAUCAAAAUGAGCAUCUCGAUGAUAGAGAUAGACACAGGUCUGAGGGACAUGGUUUGCAGGAAAAGUUUGGGCAGCCUCAACAACACAGUGAUGUUGAUUCUACAUGGAAGCACGAUGGGUUUUUCAAGUUGCAGGAAGACGCUUCGGUUGCCAAAAGGAGGCCAGGAUUUAAGGAGAUGAGAAUGCCACUGGAGGGGCAAGAAUCAGCUCCUGCUGUUACAGAACCGAAUUCAAGAUCACGUAUACCUGAUCAACCUGGGUGGACCUCUGGGAUGGGAGAAGAAAGGAGAAACUACCAUUCACGGGAAUUCAUAAGGCCUGAUGAUCGAGAUACCAGGAGGGGAUUUUCUGAUUACAGGGGUGCUGGUCAGAGAAAUGGCUAUGAUCCAAGAGGGCGUUUUGCUGGCAGAGGGGGAAGGGGCAGAGACAGGUUUGACUACCAGUAUGGUGGAAGAAGCAACAUGCACGAGGAGGCCGGUGAUCAUCAGACAGAAAAAUGGAAGCAUGACCUUUACGAUGAGACGAACAGUACCCCAGCUCCGAUGACUGAAGAAGAGCAGAUUGCAAAAGUCGAAGCACUGUUGGCGCUGUAG